UACGUAGGGACCAAGCGUUGUUCGGAUUUACUGGGCGUAAAGGGCGCGUAGGCGGCUUAACAAGUCACUUGUGAAAUCUCCGGGCUUAACUCGGAACGGCCAAGUGAAACUGUCAAGCUAGAGUGCAGAAGGGGCAAUCGGAAUUCUUGGUGUAGCGGUGAAAUGCGUAGAUAUCAAGAGGAACACCAAUGGCGAAGGCAGCUCGCUGGGACGGUACUGACGCUGAGACGCGAAAGCGUGGGGAGCAAACAGG
This 253-nucleotide ribosomal RNA is filed under the name uncultured bacterium. RNAcentral describes it as "partial 16S ribosomal RNA". It matches the Rfam family "Bacterial small subunit ribosomal RNA", at positions 524 to 776 of the family's 1533-position model. The record is from RNAcentral.